GAUGAACGCUGGCGGCGUGCCUAAUACAUGCAAGUCGAGCGAACAGAUGAGGAGCUUGCUCCUCUGACGUUAGCGGCGGACGGGUGAGUAACACGUGUAUAACCUACCUAUAAGACUGGGAUAACUUCGGGAAACCGGAGCUAAUCCCGGAUAAUAUAUUGAACCGCAUGGUUCAUUAGUGAAAGACGGUUUUGCUGUCACUUCUAGAUGGAUCCGCGCCGCAUUAGCUAGUUGUUAAGGUAACGGCUUACCAAGGCAACGAUGCGUAGCCGACCUGAGAGAGUGAUAGGCCACACUGGAACUGAGACAGGGACCAGACUCCUACGGGAGGCAGCAGUAGGGAAUCUGCCGCAAUGGUCGAAAGCCUGACGGAGCAACGCCGCGUGAGUGAUGAAGGUCUUCGGAUCGUAAAACUCUGUUAUUAGGGAAGAACAAAUGUGUAAGUAGCUAUGCACGUCUUGACGGUACCUAAUCAGAAAGCCACGGCUAACUACGUG
This 497-nucleotide ribosomal RNA is filed under the name uncultured bacterium. RNAcentral's name for it is "partial 16S ribosomal RNA". It matches the Rfam family "Bacterial small subunit ribosomal RNA", at positions 28 to 507 of the family's 1533-position model. The record is from RNAcentral.